AUUGAACGCUGGCGGCAGGCCUAACACAUGCAAGUCGAACGGGUGGCGGACGGGUGAGUACUGUCUGGGAAACUGACUGAUGGAGAGGGAUAACUACUGGAAACGGUAGCUGAUACCGCAUACCAUCGGAUGUGCCCAGAUGGGAUUAGCUAGUAGGUGGGGUAAAGGCUCACCUAGGCGACGAUCCGUAGCUGGUCUGAGAGGAUGACCAGACACACUGGGACUGAGACACGGGCCAGCCUCCUAAGGGAGGCAGCAGUGGGGAAUAUUGCACAAUGGGGGUAAGCCUGAUGCAGCCAUGCCGCGGGGAGGAAGAAGGCCUUCGGGUUUUAAAGUACUUUCAGCGGGGAGGCGUUACCCGCAGAAGAAGCACCGGCUAACUCCGUGCCAGCAGCCGCGGUAAUUC
Molecule: ribosomal RNA, 406 nt
Filed under: uncultured bacterium
Lineage: Bacteria
Description: partial 16S ribosomal RNA
Rfam family: Bacterial small subunit ribosomal RNA
Source: RNAcentral